RNAcentral lists this ribosomal RNA (168 nucleotides) under Wenyingozyma naganishii. RNAcentral describes it as "Ogataea naganishii partial 18S rRNA". It matches the Rfam family "Eukaryotic small subunit ribosomal RNA", at positions 1484 to 1653 of the family's 1831-position model. The record is from RNAcentral. Lineage: Eukaryota; Fungi; Ascomycota; Pichiomycetes; Pichiales; Pichiaceae.
GGGCCGCACGCGCGCUACACUGACGGAGCCAACGAGUAUAACCUUGGCCGAGAGGUCCGGGUAACCUUGUGAAACUCCGUCGUGCUGGGGAUAGAGCAUUGCAAUUAUUGCUCUUCAACGAGGAAUUCCUAGUAAGCGCAAGUCAUCAGCUUGCGUUGAUUACGUCCC